Molecule: non-coding RNA, 961 nt
Organism: Bactrocera oleae (olive fruit fly)
Lineage: Eukaryota; Metazoa; Arthropoda; Insecta; Diptera; Tephritidae
Source: RefSeq, a predicted model, not a curated record
ACAUACAUAUGUAUGUAUGAAAUGUGUGAAUGCAAUGAUGAUGAGUAGUAUGUAUGUACGUAAAAUACAAACCGAUUUAUCUACAUACAUAAUCUUAUGUACUCAAUAUAUUUCCAUCCAUUUAUGUAUGUAUGAAUGUGCUUUUUGAACACACAGUGACAGCAACCAAAACAAGGCAGUUAAAUGAAAAAAAACAAGGAAAAAUAUAUCUGAAAACGAAAGCUCGAAACAACAAUAAAAAUAGCUCAGCACCGUUCUGUUUAGAUGAAAAUGAAAUGAAAACACAUUCAGACUUUUAUACUACAGUUGUGUUAAUAUAUGUACUUAUUGUAUGUAUGUGUGUAUGUUAUACACAUAUGUGCGCUGGAUCCAAAUAUAAACUUUGUGGGGGAGAUCAUGUGACUUGACUCCGGACAGGCUGGCUAGAUGGUUCGCUUCUGUAUGAAGUUACUGUGGGUAAAUUAACGAAAAGUGACUAAUGUGAAGAUACAAAUUUGUUACAAAAAAAAGUUCACACAUUCAUAUGUACAUAGACUAAAAUUUCCUUCAGCAAAUGUGUGUUUUAAAUAGUAUCCGUAUUCACCAAGAUGCUGUGGAAUUUUACUAGCAACAAGACAUCUUCUCUCCACCGGCAUUUUGGUGACACAAUAGCGAAAAGAAGCUGCAUAAAUCUCUCCGUGCUUCGGAAGUUGUUAAAAAUUCUGAUUCACUGAAGAAAAUCUGGUCGGCUUACAAUUUCCAAUUUAGACAAUCACUGAUUUUACAGCCCAAAGUUAAACGUAGCAUGUUGCGUAAUCUUGACCAUACAUAAUCGAACAAGGGCCUUAAAAGGAUAGGGGAUAAGAAUAUAUUAUGUUGUAUUUUUAGCAGCUGUUACUUGAACUAAAAUUCUUUGUAUAUACAUAUGUACAUAUAUACUAUAUGUAAUAUAUACAUAUAUAUAUACAAGUCAAAUAAAGCA